Crotalus tigris (Tiger rattlesnake) is the source of this 4313-nucleotide long non-coding RNA. RefSeq lists it as uncharacterized. The transcript is spliced from 5 exons. The record is from RefSeq and is a predicted model, not a curated record. Lineage: Eukaryota; Metazoa; Chordata; Lepidosauria; Squamata; Viperidae.
CACAAGUGUGGCUGAAUAAAUUCCUAUGAAUGUCACAAUGGAAAAAAGUUGAAUAUAAAAUAAAUAAGCACUAUUUGUAUAUUUAAGCAGAUCUCUCAAAUAAAGAUGAAUGGUAUUAAACUCAAUGAGUCUUUUUGCUUUUGGAUGAGACUUGGAAGAAUCGGUCCACAAACUGACUGCUACUACCCUGUUUCCCUGAAAGUAAGGCCUGCCCCCAAAAUAAGCCCUAGCUUGAUUUUUGGGGGUGGGCCUAAUAUAAGCCCUAUCUCCAAAAUAAGCCCUAGUUUUGGGGUAAGGUACACACCUAAAAAUCAAGCUAGGGCGGGGUAGAGCUGCCCCAUGCGCCCUGCACCCACUCAUCUUGCAGCCAGGCCUAUCCUUGCUGGCCCACUUCUUCUUCUGAGGCCUCUUCUGCAGUCAGGCUUGCAUUUCUGGAAAGGCCACUGCAGCCGAGAACCGAGCUAUGGAGGAAUCCAUAGCUCGGUCCUUGGCUUCAUAGCCCUUCCGCAAAGGCCUGAUUGGGAAAUGCAGGCCAGACUGCAGCUGCAGAAUGAAUCUGCUGCUUUGGCUGCAGAAGUGGACUGGUUGGACAGGGCUGUCGGUGCCGGAGAGGCACUGGGGAGUUGCAGCAUUAGUUCUGACAAGCCUUUGAGCAGAACAGAAGUGGAAGAACAUCAAAGAAGUUGCUUUUAUAGACCAUCAAUUAAGCGUCAGUUUUAUAUAAUUUUUCAUGUAACAACUUGUAAAUACCAUCUCUUAAUCUGAUCUCAGAGCCUUAGGUUUUCAUUUGGCCAAGUGAAUAACUAAUCUUAAAGACAAACUGGCUGGACAAGUGAAAUGGGAGAAAUCUCUCUGAUUGAGCAAUGUGCUCUCAAUAAACAAAGAAAGAAACAAAUAAAUACUGGCUACACGCCUCAGAGUUACCAAGACCAGGAGUGAUGCUAGAGUUCACUAUAUUUUGUCUUAUCACCAUCAUGCCAUGCCAUUUAGGGGUAAAUUACUCAGAUUCUGAGAGAGCCCUAUCUCUCUUACAAGUUGGUAUCAAGGGUAAGGAAUUAGGACAAGAUACUUCUUUCCUCCAUAAAGAUAGAAAAGUACUAUUAUAACCCAUAACCAGAAACCGCACCAAGGUAAGUGGGGAACAAAGGCCGAAAGGGAAGAAUCAGACUCCUUCUGCUAUCUGUCAAUAUGUGUCCCAUCUCCAAUCAUUCUUGCAAGCAAGUUGUCUGAACCUAGGAUAUUUGAAAACAAGAACCAAUACAUCCUGUUCAUAUAUCUUAAAUGGUUAGCUAACUCCCCAGUAAAACAAGAGAGAAGUGAAAAGGGAUCAAAGGCAUGAAGAAGGAUGCACCUUAAUACACACACAGUGAUAAAAGGCAUACAUACGUAUCCUAUUCACAAGAAUGUAUAAUCUUUCCCUUGCAAUAAAUCUGAUUAACAAGAUUUUAAGAUAAUCUCUCUCUCAGGACAUUUGGUUAUUUGCUAUUUCCAACUUUUUUUUAAAAAAAUCAUCUUUUAAAAAUAAAACUUCCACAGGGAACACGAUUCUGUAUCUGGAUAUAUAAGAUAAGGUUAUUUACUGAGAGGAAAAUGCUCACACAGUACUGGGAGUAGCUUUUCCCAAACUUGUCUCCUCUACUGUAAAUGACUUCCAAGCCAACACUAUCAUUAGCCAUGCUAUCUGAAGCUCAUGGGAGAUGGUUUAAUAAAUUUAGAGGGCACCAGAGUGGAGAGAUCAUAGGAGGGAGCAACCUGCCAAUCAGUUCAUACAAAGAUGGUAGAGCCAUGUGGAAAAAUUGGAUUGCUGAACUUCUUUAAAUAAAUCUGAACUUAAAUUUAAAAAUUUUGAGCAAAAUCACACAGAAUAUAAUUUUGGACAUACAAGGAUGUGAUUAAAUCAACGGCUCAAGACCUUAAUUUGGAAAUUAAUCAGAAGUCUGUUUUGUAGAUUAGCUAGCUGACUGAGUUUGGGCUGGCUGAUUCAGCAGGAAAAGUCAAACAUCCAUGGGACAAACAGGCAGAUAGCCUCAAAAUUUAAAAAAAAAAAUUACCAUGACUUUAAUUUGCUAAUUUGUGCAGAGGUGAGGAUGUUUAAUAAUUGGACAGUAUUUCUGCCAGAGUUUUAAAUUAAUUAAUAUGUAGGUUCCUUUGCAAAGUGUUUGAAAAAGAAUGAAAUCUUUUCUCCUUCUCUUAGAAAUCAGAAAUAUAUUUGCGUUUUUCCAGAGUUCUGGCAUUUUGCUCACAAAAAAGUUCCUACUAACUAAAAUUCAAAUCAUUAUUUUUGCUUCUUGUUAUUAACCACUUAAUAGGAAAGACAUGCCAAACAAAGAACUAUGGUGAUUCUAAUAAAUUCAUAUUUAAGUAUCAUCAUAUCUGAGCCUCCAAGAAAAAAAUCCUUAAAUUGUUACUAAGUAAUCAUUUUUAACCAGUUUAACUCUUAUUAGCAUUUUACAAAAACCAAUUCAACUUUAUAGGCAAUAUUCUUGAUACAAAAAUGGGAGGCAGUUAUCAAAAUCUGGCUUUGUUUGUCCAAACACAUUUAUUAUUUUUAUAUGUUUUGGACUCUUACAUUUAGGAUCUAAAUCUUAAAUAUCUCUAAAGGCAAAUACUGAUUGGACUUGACACACACAAACAGUGAUUGGACUUGACAUAUUUGCUGCUAGCCACGCCCCCAGAGAGUGUUCUGAUCCUUCCAAAGAAAGUUGACAGAUCUCUUUAUGUCAUGGCUAUGUCACAAAUAAGUACAGUAGCACCAUCUAGUGAUCAGCCUUUCUGAAUUUCACAUGAUAUUCAAAAUAUAUCAUUAUUUCUAUUCCACCCUUCUUAUGUAUGCAUCACUUUAUGGCUUAUGCUCUUAAGAUACAAACCAAAAGUAUUGGGUGGAGGCAUUUGGGGGACAUCUAUGUAAAUCUCUCACUAGAACUGCAUCUGACUUUAUAUAGUGCUCUGUGAAAGCGAAACUGCCAUUCAACGGUAAGGACACGUAUUUUCCAUGCAAAUUAGCCUAGCAUUAGUCUCUAAAAGGAAUUACCAGUUAGAAUACGGAAUACUGAGCACGAUGAGCACAAUGGUUUGGAAUAAAGCACAUUCUUUUAUAUUCACACACAUUUAUGGCAUAGGCUUCAACUAUAUACAUUUUGGCAUACCCAAAAAAUCAUUACAUUUCUUUGGAGUUUCUGUAGCUCAUCUUCCUACAAAGUGUUCCUUAAUAUUUGUGUUUCUUAAACAUAUAUUUUUAUCUUAUCUGCUUAAAAGCUGGCACGUUAUGACUGUCAACACAUUUUUUGUUUCAUUUCAGGUAAUUAAAAAAUAUAGGUAAGUAUAGGUAAGUUCAGGUAAUUUUCAAAAUAUAAAAGCUGUUGAUAAUUUAUUUGAAAAAUAAGACAUAGUGCUAGGAUUGAAAUAAAGUUUCAAGAAAAUGUCCAACAAUGAGGAAGAGACAUGGAAGCAUGGAAGCUCACUUGCCCAUUUUAUUACACAUAAGGGAGAAAUGAAGAAUACCGUAUUUUCUGGCGUAUAAGACGACUUUCUAAAGCAUGCAAAUCGGCUCCAAAGUCGGGGGUCGUCUUAUACACCGAGUUGUCUUAUACGCCGGAAAAUACAGUACUUAAAAUUCUGUAGCUGGAAUAACUUGAGAAUCCGAUUCCAGCUACAAUAUUCUCAUAAGAGCUCGUUUCCUAACACUGAAAACUACUUUUUUUAAAUGAACGAUCAUGGAAAACUAUGACCUGAACACUCCAGUACAUAUCCUGAAAAUGUAAUGUUUAAAACUGGAAAGCCAAUUAUGGCUUAUAUAUAUAUAUAUAUAUCGUAUAUAUAUAUAUCUUUUAGGUAUAUGAAGCUUGACAUCUCAAUACUAAGAUUACCAAAAAGGGAUCACUUUGCUUCUAAAGAUAAAGGCAGAACCGAACCCUCCAAAACAGAAGAUGAGCCUUUUGUUCCAAAAAGUUCCAGGUUAUGGCGUCAGCUCCUUUUCUGCUGUUAUCACAAAGUUUCCUGAUUACAGGCCAAAGUCCCACCUGCAAUUUCCUAUCAAAAAGAGGUACCUGUGCAGACAACAUUAAAAUGACUGUUGCAGGAAUAGGCAGAGUCAAAGGGAAACCUUGCAAAUGUUUGACUAAUAUCUUUGCUGAAUAACUGGGUUUGAAGACUUUCUCUUCUCAGCAAAGGCACGUGUGAAUAGUAAGGGGACAAGAGGGAGGAGGGAAGAAUAAGGCAAUUCAUUAGAUUUGCUCUGCCAAAUUAAUAGCAUGGUUGAAUAAAGGAGAGGAAUGGGCUAAAUCCUAGGAUGCAACGGAACAGAGAAAAAAAAA